RNAcentral lists this ribosomal RNA (333 nucleotides) under Proteus mirabilis. RNAcentral's name for it is "partial 16S ribosomal RNA". It matches the Rfam family "Bacterial small subunit ribosomal RNA", at positions 1 to 329 of the family's 1533-position model. Lineage: Bacteria; Pseudomonadati; Pseudomonadota; Gammaproteobacteria; Enterobacterales; Morganellaceae. The record is from RNAcentral. RNAcentral also lists the same sequence under 2 other names.
UUAAUUGAAGAGUUUGAUCAUGGCUCAGAUUGAACGCUGGCGGCAGGCCUAACACAUGCAAGUCGAGCGGUAACAGGAGAAAGCUUGCUUUCUUGCUGACGAGCGGCGGACGGGUGAGUAAUGUAUGGGGAUCUGCCCGAUAGAGGGGGAUAACUACUGGAAACGGUGGCUAAUACCGCAUAAUGUCUACGGACCAAAGCAGGGGCUCUUCGGACCUUGCACUAUCGGAUGAACCCAUAUGGGAUUAGCUAGUAGGUGGGGUAAAGGCUCACCUAGGCGACGAUCUCUAGCUGGUCUGAGAGGAUGAUCAGCCACACUGGGACUGAGACACGG